Manis pentadactyla (Chinese pangolin) is the source of this 993-nucleotide long non-coding RNA. RefSeq lists it as uncharacterized. Lineage: Eukaryota; Metazoa; Chordata; Mammalia; Pholidota; Manidae. The record is from RefSeq and is a predicted model, not a curated record. The transcript is spliced from 3 exons.
UUUCCUUACCACUCCCUCUGGGCGGAGAAAGCAAACAAACAAGUCACUCAGCAUACAGCAGGUGCUGAGAAAAUGCUCGCCUCUCCUUGUCUGGGGAAUAUUUGCUGUGUCCUGAACUCCCGACCCUGUCGGAACAAUCGCUCAUUGUCUGCUGUGACCACUGCUUCUCUGCUCAUGCUUGUCCCUCCUGCUGUGACAAUGGUCUUCUAUUAAAAGUUUUUAAAGUAUUUGAGACAUAAGCUGGAUGGACCACUCGCACAUUCAGGACACAGGCAUGGAAAACAAAGGAGGGCAGGUGCUAAUAUAGAGGACUGGGGAAAAAAUAAUCAUGUAGAGCCUCUCUGCUGAAUUCCAGACCCAAAUAUCCAACAACCUGACUUGUAUGUCCAAGACAUCCCAAACACAGCAUGUCCACGCUGAGCUCCUGAUUCCCUCCUUCCCAAGCCUCCCUGCAUUUGACCCUUCUGGAACACUAGCAAGGAGGACACAGGGGUGAAAGCCCUUCUCCCUUUCAGUGCAUGUCAACGCUAUCCUGCAGGAUACCCAAGCCAAAAAUACUGGGACCAUUUAUUCCUUCUUUGCACACCCCACAUAACCAACCUAUGAGCUAACAAUGUCUUUGUGCCUUCGAAAUGCAUACAGAGUCUGGCCACAUCUCACCACCAGCAUGCUAAUGCCACCCCACCAUCUAGGCUGUCACAGCAGCCCCCUAAACCUCCCUCACCCCAUCCUGUGCUCUCUUCCCAAUGUAACAGAGACCUGGUCACAUGGAAGGCAGAUUCUGUCACUGCUCCAUCUCCUGAAGCUUCUGUUCUGUCCAAGUAAGAGAUGAGGGCCUCACCAUGCUCGGGAGGCCCAGCACCCCUCUGCUCCUGGCUCCUGCCACAGCACCCACCGACACCUUGUGCUCCUCAGCCAUGCCACCCUGUCCCCUUGAAGCCAUCUCCCAGGAUUCCAGUGGCUCACUUCUUUUCCUGACGUCACGUGCUCAUG